GGUGUAUGUAUUGCAGAUGAGUAAACCCAGAUCCAAAGAGUUGGGUAAAUUGCUCUGUGCAGCACAGCUAAUAAAUGAAAAAAAGUAGGCUCGAAACCUGGGUUAUUUGCCUUGGAACCCAAGCUGUGAGCCUGAAAGUUUACAGAAUAUGGAAGGCAUUGCAUAUUCUAUGCAUAACCUAUUUAAAAAUGGAAUUACUUUUAGUUUGCCCCUUAAUUAGUUCAUAACCAUUGACCUAAUAUGCUGUCUCAUUUCCUGCUCUGAAUUAGAAAUGAGAAGAGAUGGAAGCAACCAAUUAUUACUCAUUUUUACUAUUCUGUCGUAGUCCUUGCAAACUUUCAAUUACCCAAAUCAUUUCAUUUCUUUAACUGCACAAGCUGAUGUCAAAAGGCCUUGGGUUAUGGGUACAUACAUAUGGUGCCACGUGUUGUAAAAUUAUCACCAUCCUUUACCGUUUUAGAAAAUAGCUCUCAAAAUGAGAUCGCUUCCUUAUAACUCUAAAGACAUUAUCUUGAAUCCUCUCAGUCUUAAAGGCCCUUCAUGUCAAGAGAAGGUUUUGAAUUCCACCCAGGUAGAAACCACACCUGUUCACACCUGAGGGGGUGGCACCCCUUGCUGAAUGGGGAGCCCAGGGCAGUCACAAAACGCCCCCUGACUGGUGGAUGCAGCCAGCCCUCGUUCCCGUCCAGAUCUGAGAUGUUUGGUUAUUGCCUGUAUCAUGAUGUUUGUUUUUAUCUCGAGCCUUUUACGCUGGGAUGUCAACAUCCCCUUUAGAGAAAUAAGAGCAUUCUAUUGAUUCAUCAUGUUGCUGUGAAGGAGGGUGGCUGUCUUUGCUGUUCCAUCCAUUUCACAACAGGACCGGGACUCUGAGAGCUGCAGCCAGUGUGCCGGCUCCUGGACCCCAGCCUCCCCCCUGCAGCUCACCCCAGCAUCCCUGGGGCGUGGAGGCAGGGGUCAGCACACGCCUGCAGACUCUGCUUCCUUCCUCCACGGCACUCCACGAUUGCUCAUCUCUGUACUUCAGGGCAGAACCAAGCAGAGCAUGCUAAGCGCCUCCCCGAACUCAGGGUGGGAUAAAAAGACCANAAAAAAAAAAAAAAAAAAAAAAAAGGAAAAAGAAUAAAACCACAGCCAAGCCCACUUUGCUCUCACUCUCUGAAAAUUCACAAGGUCCCACUCCUUCACGUCUUCCUCUGUCCUUCAAGAUCUGCUGUGUGUUUAUUCUGUGCGAGGCUGGUGAUGCCUGAAGGACGUGGUUGCUGUGCUCCGGGGGCACAGAGAGGAAGGCCAACGCAGCUCCAACCUGGGCCCACAGGUGCCACUGGGGCCAGGGACAGGAGCAGGCCCUCAGCAGGAGGCCUGGCAGUGCCAGCGCUUAGGAAGACCACGGGCUCUGAAAAUGGGGUCAAGGAACAUUCUAGAAAGGAAGGCAGGAGAGUACCUCAGGGAGAGUUCAGGGUCAGCGCCCCAGAAAAUCAGAAAAGGGAAGGGUUUGGGUGGUUGGGAGGUUAAGGGUAACUUUAUCAAUGCUAGGGAAGAGAUUGUAGGGUAUUAAAAUAUAAAGAUGGAAUUUUCACUGAAGUGCAAUAGGAUUGGUGGCAUCUCUGCAGCGCCAGGACGCAGGUUCAAUCCCCAGCCCAAAACAGUGGGCUAAAGGAUCCAGCGUUGCCACAGCUGCAGGGUAGAUUGCAACGGUGGCUCGGAUCUGAUCCCUGGCCCAGGAACUCCAUAUGCUGCAGAACGGCCAAAAAAGAAAAUAAAUACAUAGAAACGAAAUGGUAAAGAGGAAAAUGUCACAGUCUCAACUCUGCAUGUCUGAGGCGGGAUGGGUACUGCACCCGACAGACCAAAAAGCCACGCAGCUCUGAGCAAGAAGCAGUGGGGGAGCUUAACCUUUCCAGGGAGUUUGCACUGACUUGCGUCACCCGGAAAGAUACGCUGAAGCCUUAACCCCUGCCCCUGGUACCUGUGGACGUGGUCUCAAGCAGAAACAGAGUCUUGGCAGAUGGAAUUAAGCUAAGAUAACCAGACUGGGAUGAUGGAGGCAGCUGCAAACCAGGGCAUCUGAGGACUUCCAGCAGCUGUCAGAGCCAGGGGGCAAGGAAGGAGCCCCCAGGCUUGCUCAGGCUGCUGUGAUAGAGUACCGCAGGCCGAGGGGCUUGAAUAACAGACAUUUGUCGUCUCAGUUCUGGAGGACGGACUCGGGAGGCUGGAAGGACCGCGCCGCCUCGGAAGGCUGUGUCGGAGCCCCUGUUCCAGCCUCUCUUGCCGCUGCGGGAGUUUGCUGGCAUCUCGGGUGCUCCUCCUCUUAUGGACACUACUCGCAUCUCUGCCUUCAUCUUCAGGCUGUUCUCCGUGUGCUUCUGCUGUGUCAGGGUCCCCUCUCACAAGGACACCAGUCAGACUGGCUUGGGGCCCACCCACUUCAGGGUGACCCCACCUGACCUCAUUACCUCUGCAAUGACCCUAUUUCCAAUUAGUGUCACAUGCCGAGGGCCUGGCUGCUAGGACUUCAACAUGUGAAUGUGGGGGGACCUCGUUCAACACUGACCAUUUCUCUAAAGGUUUCAAGGGGGACCAUGACUUGACAUAUGCCUCACUUUUGGACUUCUAGCUUCCAAAAGUGUGAGGAAACAAAUUGGUUUUGUUCCAGGCCACGGAGUCUGCAAUGCGUUGUUACGAUAGCCUUAGGGUGCAAACCCAGUUGCUCAAAGGACAGGAGAGAUGAAAUGUAACUCAGAUAGGAGGUGUACUUUGAGGGAAGGAUUAUUCCAAAGCAGGGAAGCAAUGGAAUGGAGGCUACGUGGACAUGCUGCGGAUGGAAAGGCAAGGCCUGGACCCCAGGAGGAAGAGGGUACAGGCAGUGAGUGAAUCCCAGGCUUGGAUGGAGGGCGAGGGGUGGUCGGGUUUGUUCUACUCAGGUAUUCUUCCAGCCACCUGCUUGGUUAUCCAGAGAUGGGAGAUGCCGGGAAGGGAUGAACAUGAAGGUGAGCACGGGGUGGGGGCACCAGGGCCUGGGAGAAGUCAGAGCCUUCAGAGGCUGUGUGUCCACUGGGAGCGGGGGCGCUUGUGCAAGAAACAAGAGUCAUUUUUUUCCGUUCUUUUUCCUCCCCGACCUCCACCCUCAAUCUGGACAUGUCGCAAAUUUCAGCUCUAAACUAAAAUCCUAAAAUCGGGGACUCCCCACUGUGGUGCAACAGGAUUGCAGUGUCUCUGGAGCGCUGGGACGCAGGUUUGAUCCCUGGCCCUGCACAGUGGGUUAAGGAUCCGGUGUUGCUACAGCUUCAGCAUGGGUCACAGCUGUGACUCGGACCUGAUCCCUGGCCCGGGAGCUCCAUAUGCUAUGGGGGGGCCAGAAAAAGAAAGGAAAAGGAAAGAGGAGAGGAGAGGAGAGAAAACCCCACGGGGAGUUCCUGUUGUGACACAGCAGACACGAAUCCAACUAGUAUCCCUGAGGAUGUGAAUUCAAUCCCUAGCCUCGCUCAGUGGGCCGGGGAGCCAUCGUUGCUGCGGCUGUGGUGUAGGCUGGCAAUGGCAGCUCCGAUUCGACCCCUAGCCUGGGAACUUGCAUAUACCGCGAGCAUUGCCCUAAAAAGCAAAAACAUAAAAAUAAAAACCUAAAGUUUUUUAAAAAAUUAAAAAAUGAACCAAGAGUGGUAUUCCGAAGUGGAGUGGACCAAGGGAAGCUUCUAGUUCGGUUCUGAGUUUUCGGGUGACUCAGGGGUCACUUACCAUCUGGCAUGUUUCUUUAUCAUCCGCAGUAGAGAAGGUUUGCCGAGCACCCCAGGAGGAGAACCCCCCCUCCGCUGCUGCCCCCGCUCACUCGCUAUUUUCUCUCCUGCCUGCCUGGCUCCAGAACCUCUCCCAAGCUCAGCAUCACGCCCUCCGCCCCCUCCCAGCCCUUGGAAUGCCCCCCCCAAUCCGACAGACUCCAGGACUCCUCAGCACCCCCGGCACCAGCUCCCCUUCCACCUUUGCCACCAGAACAGUCUGGAAAGCUGAUGCCUCAAUCCCGGUAAGGUCCUGCAUGGCUUUUCUCUUCUUUAAUUAUUUUAGUCACACUGCCUGUGCUUUGACUCAUAUUACAAAUAAAGCUGGGAUGACCCAGCGGUCAGAGACGUUUUUACAUCCCUUCAUUAGCUUUCGAAAUAUAUCAAGCCAAGUCACAUUUUCAGAAGACAUCAUUUCGGUAUACAUUUCAGCUAAAAUCACUACACGGUUUCAGUUUCAGCGGCUGGUUUUGCAAAUGAAUAUGGUUCAGUUCAGUUUGGGGUUCACUGUUCGGGUCAGGUCACGACCCCUAAAGCAUUCCUAGAUAAGGUGGAUGAUAUUAAUUUCUUAUAAUAAUAAUGUUGAAGACAGACGUGAAAAUAACCCUUUGUCUGUGACCCCAUGGUCCUUGCAAAAAUACGAAUGAAAGGGCCCUGCAUGAUUUUCUCAGAUCAGCACAAGGAGGGAGCUUCUGUGGGCCAGAGCUCCGAUGUGUGUGCUCCUGCCAUUUCCUAAAUAAGCAGGUUUAUGGGCACUGAGGGUCGAAAGGCUGGGGCUUCCUGUUAGAGAGACCUAGCAUUUAAUAUUCAAAUGACUUAUCUAGACUGACUCACAGGGCGGGGGGAGGGUAGUAACCCAGGGGCCAGUGGGUGUAUUCCGAAAGCUUAAAACUCCCUGUGCAGUUUGGCUGCAACCCACUUUGAUCCACAGUAGGAUCUAUCUUCCUGUCUUUGUUCUUAUGCAAGCGUUUACUUCCAGCAGAUGGAAUUCUUCCUAAAAAUUCUGUAUCCGAGCUGGCCCCUUCUCACCCCCUGAGAUGAACCUACAGAUCCCCAGGGGUCACUUCCAGGCCAUGUUCUAGAACGAAGGCUGAACAACCCACGAUAUUAAAUUGGGAGGACGGGAGCUCCCAUCGUGGCUCAGCAAAAACGAAUCUGACCAGUAUCCAUGAGGAUGCAGGUUCGAUCCCUGGCCUCGCUCAGUGGGUUUAGGAGCCAGCAUUGCUGCGAGCUGUGGUGUAGCUUGCAGACAUAGUUCAGAUCUGGUGUUGCUGUGGCUGAGGUGUAGGCUGGCAGCUGUAGCUUCGAUUCCAUCCCUAGCUUGGGAACUUCCAUAUGCCGUGGGUGUGGCCCUAAAAAAAAAAAAAAAA
RNAcentral lists this long non-coding RNA (5140 nucleotides) under Sus scrofa (pig). RNAcentral's name for it is "lncRNA (ENSSSCG00055014959.1)". The record is from RNAcentral. Lineage: Eukaryota; Metazoa; Chordata; Mammalia; Artiodactyla; Suidae.